Molecule: long non-coding RNA, 18376 nt
Filed under: Hordeum vulgare
Lineage: Eukaryota; Viridiplantae; Streptophyta; Magnoliopsida; Poales; Poaceae
Description: long non-coding RNA (HVUL_LNC006768)
Source: RNAcentral
UUUCUGAUCGUCCUUCAUAAUUUUUGCCCCUAAAAUUGCCCUAAAUUACCCACUAUGCCAUCCACAAGUCAAAAAACGAUUCAGAUUUCUUUACCUGUCAAAAUCGUCGUGCGGUUUCGUUCUUAUAAGAUUGGACACAACAAUGUUUCAAUUACAUGUGUAGUGUGGUGGCUGAAGCCUUGCCCUCCUACACGGCACACCCGGGUUCGAACCUCGGUCCCUACGGCUUUUUUUGAGUCCCCCUUUUCUUUUUUUGUUACAACUAGCGUUUACAUCCUCCUCCCUAGUACGGGUUCAUGGUCCGGCACAAAUUUUAUCUUUAUUUUUUUGCCUUUUCUUUUUUCAUUUCAAUUUUUGUUUUCCUAUCUUUAAGUUAAUUCGUAAUUUCCCAAAAAACCAAAUUUUAAAAGUUCGAGUUCUAAAAAAUUGUUCAUGAAAUCAUAACAUGUUUAUUAUUCAUAAAAUUAGAACUUUGUAAAAAAUCAUGAAUUUGAAAAAUGUUUACGAUUUCUAAUAAAGUUUAUUAUUUCAAAAAUGAAUUGUGGAUCAGACAAAUUUUCAAUAUUCAAAAAUUUGUAAGAUUUUAGGAAAAAUGAAAAAUAAAUAAAUAGAAAAACUAAGAGAAAAUGUGAAACCGAAAAAAGAGAUAAAACAUAAGAGAAUUAAAAAAACAGGCAAAGCGUGGUUCAUUUCCCGAAAGCAAUGAUUGGUAUGAGGUUUAUGUACCAGUGGCUUAAUAUUAAUUUUCAUAUUAAUUGAAAUUGAGUUAAUAAUGAUUUUUAUUUUCAUACUGUCAUGUGAUUUAUUUUAGUGGUUUUCCAUAAGAUUGAUCUAAAUAGCUCUAGAAUUUGAGCAGUUAAGUCUUUUAGGUUUAGGUUUUAAUUAGUUUUUGAGAAGUGUUUAUAUGCCUAGGGAUUGGAAGUAGUUUGUGAUCGACGAGAUUAGCUGUUAAAGUUUUAAACAUUUCAUUAUGCUACACAAUAACAACUGUAGCGUGCAGUGGCAUGCUCAUAACCUUGAGAUUUACCACGUCAAAUGCAUUGUGAUUAUAUGAACACGCCACGCAUUAUUAAAGAAGAUGGAAAAAAUAAAGAAGUGUCAACAUGAUGAGCCAUCGUGUUAAAAUAAAAAAAUAAAAAACGCUCAUACAUCAAGGUAUUGAACCAUACUUAUUUGGCUAGGGCGUAAUAUUUUGUAACCCGUUGCAACGCACGGGCAUAUUUGGCUAGUUAUUAUCACAAGCUAAUAAACGGGGUGAUGAUGGUUAAAAAAAAUGAAAAAAGCUGCUCUUCAGCCGGCGGAAAACUCCAACGCAUCAUUCGCCUCCCUCAAACAACACGUGUCCCUAUGGUCCAUCCACGUAUCUCUUUCUAGCCCUAUCUCUUCUUCAACCUCCUCCCUCCACUCAUUUCUUCUGAGAGAGGGUCUGGUGGGAGGCCAGGAGGGGCGGGCUGACCGGGGCAAGGUGCGCCUUCGCUGUUGUUGAGAAGACCGCCGGUGGAAGGAGUUCAAGUGUAUCUUCAGGUUGGAUUUUUGGAUCCCGUCUCCUGCCUCUCCCUCUCUUACCUUUUCCUCUUCAGUUUUCUGCAACGCGGUCGUUGCUUCUACAACGCAUCCGUUGUUUCAGGAGUUUCGGUUGGAUUUUUGGAUCCCGUCUCCUACCUCGCCCUCUGCAUUUAUCUCUCUUCAGUUUUUUGCAACGUAGUCGUUUGUUGCAAAAAUUCUACAACAAAGAUGAAGAAAAUUUCUGAAACAUGAUCUUUGUUGCAAAAAUUUCUCCCGCAACAGUACCUGUGUUGCAGAAAGACAGAAACAAAAUUCUGCAACAAAGCGAUUGUUUCUGCAACUCAACCGUUGUUUCAGGAAUUAAUGGGUCCAAAGUUUAUUUUUUGCAACAAAGCGAUUGUUUCUGCAACUCGACCGUCGUUUCAGAAAUUACUGGAUGCCCGACAGGAGCCCCACGCGCGCGGAUCGUACGGCUACGCGCGUAGAUCGGACGAUCAUUUAGGUGGCGGAUGUUUAGGAUGUUUUACUAAACAUCCGCCGGUGGAUGUGUAGCAGCCCCUAAAAAAAUCUUCCCAAGUGGGCCUUUUUGCGAUGCUGACAGGUGGGACCCAUUGCCAGAUGCACCGUCUCCGCCGAGCAAUCGAUUCUCGUCGAUGCCACCGGCAGCGCCGUCGCCUCCUCUCCGCCGUCGCUGGCGGCGACCAGCAGAUCCGCGACAUCCCGCCUACCACCUGCGCUGUCCCAUGGAACCGCAUCCUCCGCGCCCACAUCUGCCGCUCCCGUCCGGACCUCGCGCUCGCGCUCUACCGCCGCAUGCGCGCGCUCUCCCCCACGCUCCCCAACUCCUACACGCUCCCCCUCGCCCUCCGCGCGGGGACCUCCGCACGAAUCGCGUCCGCCAUCCACGCACACGCCCUCCACCUUGGCCUGCAUGCCCACCCGGACGUCGCCCGCCAGCUCCUCGCCGCCUACGCCAGGCACGGCCUCGCCGACGAGGCCCGCCACGUGUUCGACGCAAUGCCGUCGAAGAGGACCACCAUGUCCUGGAACAUGCUCAUCUCCGCGUACUCGGUCUGCUGCGACCCCAACAACGCAAUGGCCACGUUCGCGCGCAUGGCCGCCACUGACGAGCCGCUCCCCGACGCCGUGACGUGGACGACGCUGCUCUCGGCGCACGCGAGGUGCGGUAAGCACCCGGUGGUUCUUGAACUGUUCGGAGACAUGUACCGCAGCGGAUGCGAAGGUAACGCCGAGUCCGUGGCCGUGGCUCUCUCGGCGUGCCCUUACGCUGGCGACCUCGCAUUGGCGAAAGGGAAGGCGAUACAUGGCUAUGGCUUCACGAAGGGCGUCGUGCGCGGCUACCUGUUCGUGACGAACUCACUGGUGUGCAUGUACGGCAAGCUGGGCGAGAUGGACGACGCCCGGAAGGUUUUCCGGGAAGCCGGGGAGAGGAACAUCGUGACAUGGAACGCCAUCAUCACCAGCUACGCUGCUGCUGGGAUGUGCGACGAAGCGUUAGACGUGCUCGUCCGGAUGGGGCAGCGUGGCGGUAUGGCUGCGCCCAAUGUGGUGAGCUGGAGCGCUGUCAUUGGCGGCUUCGCGUCGUCUGGGGACUAUGAGCGCGCGCUGGAGCUGUUCCGGCGGAUGCAACGGCAAUGGCUUUCGCCGAACGUGGUGACCUUGGCUACCGUUCUCUCAGCCUGCACCGAGCUACUGGCGGUGCGGCUGGGUCGGGAGGUCCAUUCCUACGCGAUCAGGUCCAUGCUCGACCGGCACUCGCUCGUCGAGAACGGACUUAUCAACAUGUACGCCAAGUGCGGGAGAGUUGCCGCCGCACGCACGGUGUUUGACGGUAUGAAGAGCAGGGACCUGGUCUCCUGGAACUCCAUGUUGGCCGGCUACGGGAUGCACGGCCUGUGCGACAACGCCCUCGCACUCUUUGCAGAUAUGGCCGAAGCUAAUGUCGAUCCUGACGGCGUCACAUUCGUCGCCGUUCUGUCGGCGUGUAGCCAUGCAGGCCGCGUGUGGGAGGGCCGCCGUCUGUUUGAUCAGAUGAUGCUGGAGCACAAAAUCUCCCCGUCCAUGGAGCACUAUACGUGCAUGGUAGACCUCCUGGGCCGUGCCGGCUUGCUCAAGGACGCGUCCAAGCUCAUCGAGACGAUGCCCAUGGAAGCCGACCUGUGCGUGUGGGGGGCGCUGCUCAACUCCUGCAGGAUCCAUGGGGACGCAGCCAUGGCCGAAGCCACCAUCGCGAAGGUUCUGCAGGCCGGCGCGGAGACCACCGGCAACCACACGCUGAUCACGAACCUGUACGCCGCGUGCGGGAUGUGGGACGACUCCAAGAGGGUGAGGGUGAUGACAAGGGAGGCCGGCUUGAGGAAGAACCCGGGGCAGAGCUGGAUUGAGGUGAAGAACAAGGUGUUCGCCUUCGUGGCCGGCCGCGUGCCGCCGUCGUUGCCCGGAGCUGAGGAGGUCUUCAGAGUGCUCGAUGAUUUGUAUCGCGAAAUGGAUGACGAGAGACGUAGCAUAGAGGAGGAUCACAUUGUAAACGUUCGAUAGAAGAGAAAGCGUUUGCGGAUACACCUAUCUCGUACAGCAGGCCUAACAGAGCGAGCAAGUCUUUCAGAUUGGCUCUUGUGAUCCCAAGAAGAGCCUGAGGGUCCUGCCAUGGCGCCGUUGCCGUAGUCCCCGCAGGCGAGCCGCUUGGUCACCGGAGGGAUGAGGGAGACGCCGAGGCCGGCGACGACGUCGAGGUGGCGGCUGGUGAAGGGGUUGUCCCACAUGAAGGUGUUCAUGGCCGGCGCGACGUAGAUUCACCACGCACGUGAGGAGGUUGUCGCACAGCCCGCCGGCCAUCUGAGCGCGGCAGAUCGAGAGAAAAAAAUGGUCAAAACAGGAUAGCAACGCAACGGAACACCGCAGGUGUGUCCACGGUAUUGCCUACCUUGGCCAGUGUGUUUGCCGAGAGCGGCGCGAUGAGCAUGGCGUCGGCUCACUUGCGCAGCUCGAUGUGCAGGACCUCGUCGCCGAUCCUCCCCCAGGUGGACCACUCGUCGGCGUUGGUGAGGAGGGCGACGACGCUCGGGAAGGACCCCCUGUCGAUGAAGUGCAGGGACGAGGCCGUUGCCACGGCCCGGACGUCGGCCCACUCGGAGAGGCUCCGGCAGAGGAUCUCGAACUUGAUCGCAGCCACGCUGCCGGAGGCCGCGGGGCCUCCGAGGCUGAGCGGCGCCGGCGCACGGCGACAGCUGCUCUUGCGUGGCCAUUGAUUGCACUUGUGAAUUGCGAUGGCUCUUCGUGUUGGAAAUGAAAAGGCAACUCUCUGAAAUCACUGAAGGAAGAUGGGAAGUAAUUGCGGCACUUAACCCUCUAGAUCGGCAGGAGGGGGACGACAAGAAGGGCCGGAGUUAGCUGGAGAAACAAACAGCAGUAAAUUGCGCCAGCGACCCAGAAUGCAGCAGCAGCAACAGGCACAGCAUCACAUCGAGGCAUUCACCAGCACCACCCAAGGACAACACAUUUUCAUUUGGAUCUGCCCAGUUCAGAUCUUAUUCAAAGCCAUGACUCAAGAGUUCAAGGCAGGGAGGAGGCCCGAGAGCCGCCAAUGGUUUCAACACACAAGUUCUCCAAGGGACAAAUUCAGUUUCUAGUUCCUGGAGCCUUAGACUGGCCACGACGACGACAGUUGGUGCGACCGCCUAGUCUGCUGUCUCGCUGCCUACAUGCUGUCCGAGAUCGACCUCAGCUUCCCGUGACGACGCCAGAAGGCGUCGUCCUUCUUCUCCACGGCCAGCAGGUCCUCGAAAGCGGUAUCGCGUACCCCUGUGGCGAAGGCUGCUUCACGGAUUUUCUUCUCCGCUUCAUCGUUGCUCUCCUCCAUCUGCCAUGGUGAAAGGUUUGGCGUCACAACAUCUGGUAUGUUCAUAUCACGGCGAAAGGUACUUGCUUGAGAGAAGAACAGAAGCGCGUUACCAGUUUGUAGCACGAUGACAGCUGAAGCUGCUCAUGAAGAUUAUGGUAAAUGUUGGCAUCUUUCUUUAGUCUUUCAUAUUCGAGUUCCAAUCUAUCCACCUACAAAUGCACAAGGGUAUUAAAAAACAUUGCAUCUCCGAAUGUUAACAGCGCUUCUUGGUUGAUGUCGGUAUGGAUUUCUUUUUCUCAAGUGCCUCACCUGUUCACAUAGGCGAAGGUGGUCAUGUGAAGACCUGCCGUUACGACUGUUGGAUAACAUGGCCUUCCUUAUUGUGAUGCUUCUUCGGGUGUUCUCAGACCUGAGAUGCACAACACAUUACCGAGGGUUUGCGCAACAUGUGGGGUAAUGCAUGUCUGAACUCUGAAGGGUAAGGCUGAAUGCAAAUAGUCACAUACUUUUGUAGUAGUUCGUCCCUUGCAUCCACAAGAGUGUUAAGAAACUCACGGACCUGAAAAAAAGGUAGAAGUACAUGAAGAAAUUGGUAGAAGGCACGAAGCCGUGAAGAUAACAAAAUAUACUGUUUUCGGCUGCAAACUUGCUAUGGACAAACCCUGCAAUACAGGUGAUCCAUGGUGAUUUAACCAAAUAAAAGUAAAUCUUUAAUCAUAUAAGCACUGAACACCGUAAAUUAUCAUAUAAAACACUAAUUAGAUGCGCAGAUUCUACGAUGCCCCACUUCAAACUGCACAACAACUCCACACUGGUGCACAAUUUAGCAUAUGGAAGUUCACAGAACCACCAAAAAUUGCUGUUCCUUUUUUAGAACGCACUCAAAUCAUACCAACCACCACAUUCAAAUCAAUUGAAGAUGCAAAGCAGAAUCUAGAAGAAAAUAUUGUGCAACCUGGUGAAAGAAUUCCUUAAUACCACCAAAAAACCCAAACAGCCGACGAUACUCCUCGGUGAUCCUUCGUUUCAUUGGACCACUCAACCGGGGGAGGAGCAAGGCGUUCAAUUUUGGCCUCUUUUCCUCCUCAGCGGCCCCCAACUUAUCUGUGCCAUCCAUGCCCUCCUGCUUCCUCCUCGGGUUUCUCUUCUUCCCACUGGCACCGGCAAGUGGCAACGAUGGUUGGGAUGAUUGAGGUGAAACCUGACGGGGCAGGAUGACACUAAUAGCAAGGAGGACGAUAAGGGAAACUCGCAUGGUUGUAGAUCUGUAGCGGAAGGUUUGCGAUGAAACCCUCGAUCGCAAGAGCACUAUAAAGCUAGAUCUAGAUUUACUUCGUACAUAAGAACGUCUUAUCUUGUAUUCUAGUGGGGGGCAUGGGUUAUCACUUUGCUUGCGGCGUGUUUGCGUAAAAGAUGGAGGAUUUCACGCUAGACUUUUCAUCUUGGGACUACUGGGACUCCUUUCCUUUAUGUGAACUAGGUAUGCAAGCGGACCCUCAUGAACGCAAGUACUAUGAGGUCCUUAGGAAGAAAGAGCUCCCGCGACUAAGCGGCGAAGGAGAUGGUGAGUGAGUGAGAGGGAGGCGGCGAGUCCGACGGUUCAUCCGGCGGGGGGAGAAGGCCACAUGGGCUUCGUCGUGAUCGAUGGGCCAAUCAGCGCCCAGGAGUGGACCCAGGUCAAGGCCAAGGCAAGGCGUAUCCUUCGGCAUUCGAUGGAUCGGGAGAGGCUUCGGGACUGGAUGACGAGGUGCAGGACCGAUUUCCUUGGCGGGAUCACAGGUGCGAUUCGUUCUGAUCCGAAGAUAGAGGGAGCGAUUAGUAUCAAUUUAGGCAAAGGAUUAAUUAGUAGGGAGGAUUCUGUGAAGAGGAUCACGGGGGAUUUUCCUCCUAUUGUGGGUGGGGAUCCGGUUGUGUCCAAGAUAGGGGAGAGGAGAGAUAUCAGCCAGUGUUUUCAACAAUUGACUAUGCCGGACAGUCACCCGGAUUUGGAAGGAAACUGCAACCGAUGGCAAGGGGGAGAGGGUGCUCAAAUCAGUGUGAAUUGUAUUAGAAAAAAUAAUCAGGGGGAGGAGAAUAUGGAGGAGAUUGGCGGAAGAGGAGGGAUGAGUGUGUUUUCAGUCUGGAAAAUGAGAAUUGAUGUACAUUUACUCGGGAGUAUUUAUGGGAAUUAUUCCUCGGGAAUGGCUUUGAAUGGGGAUAUAGUGAGGUAUUUCAUAGCGGGGGGACUCUCGUUCUGCUCUUCAUCUAUUGCAUCAGUUCAGAGUUCUUCCCCAAACUUCCUAGCCAUGAGCUCAGCAAGGACUCGCAUGGCGAACAGGGGAGAGGGGGAUUGGCAUGAGGGGUCGGAGAGAGGAGAGGACCCAGUGGGAGGGGUGACCCAGUGAGAGGAGAGGACCCGCCGGCGACUCCGCUAAGCAGGCUGGCCCCUGCUACGGCCAAGACUCCCGAUAGUAAGGGGAAGGCGAAGCUAAGGUGACCCCGGGCGAUGGCUCGGCUCUCAUCAUUGAUAUGGAAGCUGCAAGGAGGGCGAUCAAGGGCUUCCUGGUGGUAGGGCAUCUCCUAUCACCCUUCCGAACCCAGGGAUCAUCGUCAAUGAACUUCGUGCAACUUUGGCUUGGCGGCUGAACGAAACGGUCACUGUUCAGGAAGUGGCCGGCGGGGACGGUAGAUUCGGCCUCAACUUCUCCGCCGAGGAGGAUCGGCGGUUCGUGUUGAAGGCCCAGCCAUGGCGCUACAAGCGCGAUGGAGUCAUCUUCGCCGAAUUUGAUGGCAAGGGAAACCCGGUAGAGGUUGACCUUGGCGUGAUGGCUAUUUGGGUUCAGGUUUGUGACCUUCCUUUCGAGCUAAAAACCGAGAGUAUGGGCUGGACCUUAGGGGAGCAACUUGGUGACAUGAUCGCCAUUUCCCAUAGAAAUUGCAUGAUUGUAGAGAAAUACUUGCGUAUACGUGUGGAAGUGCCUUUGCAUGAGCCUCUUAAGACAUGGGUAGAAUUCACUCCUCUGGGCAGUUCCGAGAGCAAUAAGUAUGAUGUUAGGUAUGAGAAACUCCCUUUGUAUUGUGAGUGUUGUGGGAUUGUAGGACAUACCUGAGAGCUUAUUGUAGCAUACCAAAGGAAAAGAGGGUAGCAUCUAUUGCUAAGAAUCUGAGUGUAGAAGCAUACUGGAAGGGAGUAGGGGCAAGUAAAAGAAUUUUUUUGUUAGGCGGUUCCAGCAAAAACACUUCCUCCAGAGCAUCGGAGGGAUGUGUGGUCAAGGUGAUCAAAGCCAUGGGUGAUCUCACGGUGAAGGACAAGGUGGCCUUGGGGACCAUGUCGACGGCCGUCGAGACGGCCGGAGGCCCAAGCAUGGAGGGCCUACCACUCGGCAAGGAGGGCGGGGUGCAUGUGGGCCUAGUGCUGCCUCUAUCAGGUGCUGGCCACGGCCGGGAGCACCUGCCAGUGCCUCCUGCUGGCCCUGGCCAGGAGAGCCAGGGGGUGGCGGGUGGAGGCACCUCAACUCAAGGCAAACUGCAUGGCCAGGAAGGCCGUGUAGUGCAGCACCUGGGCGCGGCUACUCCACCAUAUGCGUGCCUGGGUGUUGCAAAGGUGCAACUGGGAUGUACUGAUGGCCAGGAGGGCCAGGGGAAUACUGUGAUGGGUGUUUCUAGCAAGCUGCAUGCUGCUGCCACUGAUGUUCCAAGCCUCCAGGAUCAGCUUUUGUUUAAGCCAGGGGUACUAGAGGCGUUAUCAGGUGUUGUGGCUGCGAGGCUGGCCGCUCCUAACAUGGAAAAAAAUUCUGCAAUGUUUACGUUUAAUGCUGGAACCAUGCAGGGUCAGGGUAAGAGGAAAGACAAGAGGGGAAGAAAGAAGGGAGGGAAUGGAAAAUAUGAAGAAGCUCGUAAGGAAAUCAUAGAAAAAAGAGGGGCAAUCCAUUUGGCGCUCCAUCAACAGGGAGUGAUUUGAAUUUAUUUAUUUUGAGAGAGAGAGAGAUAACAAUGAACAAUUGUUGUAUGGUGAGACGAGUGUUUCCUCAAAGAGAAUUUGUAUGGGACGAGUAGAAACUAUGAGAGACCGGGAUGGGACAGUCAUUCAUGUAGCAAAGGAAACAGAGAAGGAGGAGGCUUACCUGCAACAAAGGAGGGAGUCGGUUGGAGAUGAUGGCGUAUUGACAGCCUCCGAGGAGGAGGACCGCCGGGCCACAUGAAAAUUCUAGGCUGGAACUGUCGUGGUAUGAUCUCCUCCACGGCAGUUCGCGAGCUCUUGGACCUCCAGGGGCGCAUUAAGCCGGAUUUGAUUUUUCUUUCUGAGUCUCACCUGAAUAAAUGUAAAGCUGAUGAGCUUCGUCGUAGUUUAUCUUUUGAUUGCAUGAUUGUAGUGGAGAGUGAUGGUCGGGCCGGUGGCCUAGUCUUGUUUUAUCAGAAGGUGAAUGAAGUGAUUUCGAACUAUGUGUCUUCUCAUUUUAUUGAUAUUCUAUUUAUGAAUGAUAAUAUUGUACAUUGGCGAUUUACGGGCUUUUAUGGCCACCCGGGUUGGAGUGCGCGUGACUUAUCUUGGGAUAAUAUGUGGCAUUUACAUAGUAAGGGCAAUCACCCGUGGGGGGUAUUAUGGGAUUUUAACGAAAUAUUACUAUCUUCAGAGAAAGAAGGUGGCAACAGGAGACCUUAUUCUAUGAUGAGAGAGUUGCGUAAUUGUUUAGGGGAGUGUUGCCUUGAGGACAUGGGCUGUAUUGGUGAUUCAUUCACAUGGAGGAGAGGUGAUACAAGGGAAAGACUUGACCGUGCGGUUUGCAAUGUGGAGUGGGCGACUAUAUUCCCUUGAGCGGCGAUGAUCAAUGAGGAACACGUUCACUCAGAUCAUCGUCCACUCGUCCUAGAUACAAAUUAUUUUGGUGGAAAUAUUUUUAAUUCACCCAAAGGUCAAGAGAAACAAUUUGAAGCGCGUUGACUAAAAGAGGAGACAGUUGCGGAAAUUGUUCAUACAGCAUGGGAUAAGGCAAAGAAUGUGGGUGUGGGACCAUCUCUGGCUGAUCGUACCCGAGCGGUAAAGGCGGAUUUGCAUAAAUGGGAUAGGGAAUCUUUGAGAGGCCCGGAAAAGUGAGUUAAAGAACUAAAGAAAGAUUUGGAAAAACUGCAUAGAGGAACUAUAACUAUGGAUUCCCAAGCACGACAGAAGGAGAUUCUGGUCCUUAUUGAAAAUUUGCUGGAACAGGGGGAGAUUCACUGUUUACAACGCGGACAUGCAAAUUGGCUAUUCCGUGGGGACCGUAAUACCUUUUUUUCACAACGAAGCAACAACUAGAAAGAAAAGAAAUCAUAUUAAAAAACUUCUUGGGGAUAAUGGGAUCUGGGUACAAGAAGCUGAGAUGAAAAACUACAUUAAAGGGUACUUCUCAAAUCUUUUUAAAUCUCUCAACCAAACCUGGAAGUCCUCUCCCUUGUGAAAAGAGAAGUGAAAUGAAUACUGCCCUUAUGGCUCCAUACAUGGCAGAGGAGGUCCGAAAAGCUCUAUUUGAUAUUGGAGAUUUAAAAGCCCGGGGUCCAGAUGGCUUGCACGCUAUUUUUUAUAAGAGAUUUUGGGCUAUGUUGGGAGAAGAUCUAACAGAAGUUCUCCAGGCGGUGAAUUCAUGUUCAACACCGACAGGAUGGAAUGAUACUGCAAUUGUAAUGAUCCCUAAGGUUAACGCUCCGGAAAAGAUUACUCAAUAUAGACCAAUUAGCUUAUGCAAUGUGGUGUAUAAGGUUAUUUCAAAAAUGAUUGCGACACGUUUGAAGGUAAUUCUCUCGAAUAUUAUUAGUCCAACUCAAAAUGCUUUCGCCCAUGGGAGAUUGAUCACUGAUAACAUUCUAAUUGCCUAUGAUUGUUUCCACAAAAUUAAAAAGAAAAGUGUUUCCACAAAAUUAAAAAGAAAAGAGCAGGGAAGGAGGGGUUAUGUGCCAUCAAAUUGGACAUGCAUAAAGCAUAUGACCGAGUGGAGUGGUCUUUUCUAAAAGCAAUAUUGUUGAAACUCUGGUUUCAAGAAAGUUUGGUGAAUUUGAUAAUGCAAAUGUCUGUCUAUGGAAUAUAGGGUGCAUUUCAAUGGUGACGAGACUGACAAUUUCAAACCCUCUAGAGGGAAGGCAGGGGGAUCCCCUUUCGCCUUAUUUGUUCUUGUUAUGUACGGAGGGUCUGACAGCUCUCUUAGCAAAGGCGGAGGAAACGGACAAUAUUUCUGGCAUAAAGGUUAGUAGAGAAGCACCAUCAGUGUCCAGCCUGCGUUUCACAGAUGAUACGCUCAUACUUAUGCGAGCAAAUGUUACAAAUGCGGAGGCUUUAAAAGCGGUUCUAGAUACUUAUUGUGCUCCUUCGGGGCAAAUGGUCAGUGUCAAAAAAUCAAGUUAUUUUUUAGCCCCAACACAAAAGUAGAAGAUGAAGAGCAAAUUUGUACUAUUUUGAAUAUCAUGACUGAGGCACUUAAUGAUAAAUAUUUGGGACUACCUGCCAAUGUGGGGAUGGACAAAAGUGAUUGUUUAUAAUUCCUGAUUGAUCGAAUCAUAAUGAAAAUUAGUGGAUGGAAAGAAAAGUUGUUAUCUGCUGGUGGAAAGGAAAUUUUACUAAAAUCGGUUGUUCAAGCUAUCCCAACAUAUGCCAUGUUCGUCUUUAAAAUUCCUAAAAAAAAUAUGAAGGAAUUAUUGAUGCGAUGUCACAAUUCUGGUGGGGUGACGAGGACAAUCAAAAAAGGAUGCAUUGGAUGGCGUGGUGGAAGAUGUGUGUACCAAAAGACCAAGGUGGAAUGGGUUUCCGGGACAUACACUGUUUUAAUCCGGCACUACUAGCUAAACAAGCCUGACAUUUAUUGGAUAAUCCUGAUUCAUUAUGUGCCACCAUUUUAAGAGCUAAGUAUUUUCCCGGAGGUGAUUUGAUGAGUGCAAACUUAAAAAAGGGUGCUUCUUUCACUUGGCAAAGUAUUAUGCAGGAGUGGAAUCUCUUAGGAAUGGUUACAUAUGGAGGGUUGGAACCGGAGAAAACAUUGAUAUAUCGAGAGAUGUGUGGAUCCCGGAUUGUGCGAAUAGGAGAAUUAUUACACCUAGGAGGGGGAAUCUAUUGACGGAAGUGGCUGACCUUAUUGAUCCAGUUACAAACUUUUGGGAUGAGGAUCUGGUAAGACAAACAUUGUGGCCAAUCGACGUCCCUAUGAAUAUAAUAUGCAAGACUUCAUUGCUUGGAGCUAUACUAAGAAUGGUUUGUUCAGCUUAUAUAUUCAAACGGCAUGGGAAGAAGUAAGGCCAAUCCUAUUUGGGGCUAGAUUUGGAAAUUAGCUUGUCCAGAGAAGGUUAAAAAAAAUUGGCAUACGCUUCACGAAACUCUUCUGUGUCGGGUUACGCUCGCUAAUAGACACAUAAAAACUUCGCUUCACGAAACUCUUCUGUGUCGGGUUACGCUCGCUAAUAGACACAUAAAAACUUCGCCGAUCUGUCCAGCAUGUGUGAAUGGGCCAGAGGAUACUAAACACGUCUUGCUUUUAUGUCACAAGGCUAAAAUGGUAUGGGAAAGUUUGGGGCUAUAUGAAAUGAUUAAAAACGCUAGCAUGGUGGACCGUGCAGGAGAGGCAACUCUUGAAGUGUUACUACUUAUGUUUGAUCAAGAUCUAUCUGUGUUGGGUUGCCAGAACGAAAGAGAGUUGAUCACUAUUACCACAUGGUAUCUAUGGUGGAAUAGAAGGAAGCUUGUUCAUGAGGGGAAGUAGGAAGAGGCGUCCCAAACCUCGAUGGGGAUACGGGCUAUAAUGGCAAACUACAUAAACGCCCAAUUACCAAAGGCGAAGAAGAAGAGCGGAGGAUGGAGUAGACCUCCAAAGUUUUUUUUUUUAAUUAAAUGUUGAUGCUUCUUUUGAUCGCGAUCAACUAAGAGGCACAACAUGUGUUGUUAUAAGGGAUGACAAAGGAAACUUCAUUGUAGGAGCAAACUGGAAGAUUGAGUGUUGUGUGGAUGCCCUAGCCACGGAAGCGUUAGCACUUAGGUUUGGCCUUUUGUUGGCACAAAAAAGAGGAUGCAAUCGGCUUAUUAUCAAUUCUGACAAUAUGGAAGUAAUUAAAACAAUGAACAAUGGAGGAUACUCUGCAGGAGCGAUGGCUGCAACCUUCGAGGAUUUUUUUUUGUGACUUGUGAUUUUUCUUUUACUAGUUUUGAGCAUUGUACUAGAGAAGUGAACAAAGGUAGCUCAUGACCUCACGAAAGUAGCAAAAAGUUCUGGUACAAUGGACUGGAUUGAGGAGCCUCUCGAAAAUAUUGUACCUAUUUUUAUUGACGAUGUAACAAUUGUUUCAAUUUAAUAAAUCUGAUGAUGUUUUUAAAAAAACAGGGAUGCAAGCGGACGCGUCCGCACCGUCCGCGAAGCUAAAACUAAGCUAAGCACUGCAACUUUAAUGACCGUGCUAAUGCAAAAUUGAUCAUCGCGGCCACUCGCAGGCUUCAUGGACGCGUCCGACUGCAUGCCCACUGUGAACUUCCCAAGUCAACAGAGCUGAUGAUGUCAUUUUGAUAGCAUUCCCGAAUCACACCACUAGUUGACGGAGAAAACAGAUGCGUCAUUCUCAAUCAGUAUAUCCUAAUCUCUUCUAGUCAUUUCCUCCGUCCGGGUUUAUUGGCCCCCCACAUUUUGGGUCAAAUUUUAACUAUCUAAAAUAUGACUUAUAUGGGGAGAAAAAGUAUACCGUUAGAUACGUAUUCAAAAGAGAAUUCCCACUGUAUGUUCUUGUGACAUAUAGUUUAUCUUUUAUUAUUUAAAUUUAUGAUCAAAGUUUGACCCUAAAUACAAGGGGCACUAAUAAACCCAGAAAGAGGAAAUAAUAUGUAAUUAUCAUGAAACCAACUCCUUCGCCCCCUUGUCGCUCCUGUCGACACCAGGCCGUCAAACCCUAAACCCUAGCCGCCAGAGGAGGGCCAGAUCCGUGCUAGCAUGUGCGUCAUUGUGGCGGCGGUGCUGGGAACUCGUGGCGAUGGCCCUGGGAACGGUCGCGAGCUCAACACGGUUGUGGGCGGCGGUGGUCCGUUCGGUAGUGCAGGCAAUGACAAGGACGUUAGCCGAUGGGUGUCCUUGCUGGCUAUUGUGGUGGGUUGAGAUGCGUCUUGGCAUGCUCUUCGGGAGCCCCGAUGAGAUCCGGCAAGGACAACCUGAUGGGCGCACGACGGCAACGUGCUAUCCGUCCGCGUGGGAUGGCCAGAGCGCCCUAGAGUUGGCAGCAUGUUGCUGGUCUGAUAGGCCUCCCUCCGGAGGGCUCGUUCCAUUGUGGUGAGCACAUGCAUUGGCAUUGGAGCACGUGUUAAUCGACGGCGUUGGCUGUGAUGAGUUGCAUCUUGCUGCUUUAUGUUGGAUCAAGUGUUGCUUGACUCCUAGAUCCUGGUGAUUCGCAUGGUGCAACAACCUUUUCGCUUACAGGCGGUUGUGCGAUCAUGAUGUAGCAAUAGCUGGGCUCCAUGGGGGCGCCUCGACGAUGAUGAUCUGUCUUAUAUGCUCUACCCCCGACAAUGUCAGCCCAGGGAUGACGAGGAUGAGUAGAGCUCUUGCCGGCGAGGUGGUAGUCGAUAGUGUUGUGCUCCGCCAUCGGUGUUGGUUCUUGAUGACCACCUCGGCUUGCGAUGACGACCUUGCUAUGGAUUGCAGUGGCCAUCAAAAGGUCUUUGUGAGGGUUCUCUCUCCAGAUCCGGUGGUUGACUUCGAUAAAAGCUAUUGACAGUGGCUUGAUGCAAAGGGAUGGUUUUGUAGCGGCAGCGGUCACACACCAUAUGUGGUUGGAUCCAGUAAUGAUGACGCUUGCGCGUCACUCCCUUCCUAAAGGCGUUGCUAUUGAAGAACAUCGUCGUCUAUGUGCUGUCAUGAAAGGGUUGGUGCAGAUAUGGUCAUUAUUGUAGUUUGCUUAUAACGCAUCAGGUCGCUUUGGGUUUUCUUUUUCCUCGCUUGCGCAUAGCUUUGGUCUUAUAUGACUUUGCUAUUUGCUGACAUGUUUUAGUGUGCGUGCGUAGGUGUUGGUUGUGUGAAUCCUAGCUAUAUGCAGAGACCGGGUGUGUACUCUUUGAGUCUUUGUGGUUGUAUUCUCUUGAUGCUCCGUUUUAAGGCAAUAAAAUCCACCCUUUGUUAAAAAAAAGAACAUAUUAUCAGGUCUGGCCUACCACCUGGAAGGGGGCACUUGCCCCGCUUUCUCUCUUUCAAAUUGCAACUAUGUAACUGAGCUUUGGAGGAGAAGGUGUGGUUUAUGGUAAAUUACCACGACGGUAAGUUAUAACUAUAUCAAAGUCCAUCAAAAUGGAAAACAAUCUCAUUUGUUUUGUCUAUUGUAUUGAGCCUCUAACGAUUAAGUUGCGUAUACAUCCCCCCAAUCAAAGAAAAAGCUAUCAGUUGAGGUUGUUUAUUAGGAAGAGAACACCUUGUUAGAAUAGUUCCAUAUGUGAACAUUCGUACACAACAAGAAUAUACUACCUCCGUCUCAAUUUACGAUGUUUUUGUAGGUUUACAAAAACUUCUUACGUUUUGAGACUGAGGUGGUACUAGUUUUUCAUUUUGAGUAUGAUUGAACAUAACAUGUCAAAGUAACAAAACCUCUGAUUCCCUGCUAAUGCAGUCAUUAAAAUGCCGCCAGGAUUUAAUUACAAAAGGAUGUCAGCAUUAUCCAUUAUGUGCCAUAGUUACUGACAAAAUCCUAAUUUUACGGCAUGAUGACAAUUAGCCACUACAAAAUUUAAGAUUCAAAAAAGAAGAUACACUACAAAAACUGGACCCAUUUGUUUUGGAAUGGGUUUCAGUGUCAUUGGAGUAGCAUCGUAAAAUCCAUAAUCGUUUAACAAUCAUUGGCGGUAAAAACUCAAGUCAAAGCAUUUAGCAGAACCGACAGCACACCAACAUUCCGUCGCAGAUGAACUGAUGAACUAUGCACCUACCUAGCAAUGGGAGGCCAUUUGGUAUCUUACUCCCUCCAUUCCAAAUUGUUCGAAUCUAGUUUUGUCCUAUGUCAAUCUUCUUUGUAUCUGACCAAGUCUAUAGACCAAUGUGGUAAUAAUAUCUGUAACAUCAAACAUAUAUAGUAUGAACAUGUUUUGUGAUGAAUCUACUUGAAACUAAUUUGGUGUUGUGGAUCCUGAUAUAGUUCUCCAUAGAUUUGGUCAAACUUCCUUGGAAUAGAGAGAACAUAGAACUUCAAACAAUUUGGAACGGAGAGGAGUACUUCUCUAAUCGAGCCAUUAGACUCGAAUACUAGCUUGCAAUCGAAACAAAAACCAAUUCAAGAUAUUAGCAGGGGCUAUCUGCGUUCACAGUCGUCGGGGGCACCAAACCAAUCCCACAACUGGUAACACAGCACCACCUGCCACCGGAGCGGAUCCUACGCUGAGCACACUGGUGGCAAGUAGCCUGCGAGGUCUUGUGCAAGAAAGCUAAUAAGGAUGCAGAGAAGGUCGCAUUGCACGGGGACGCACCCACCAACCUGGUCAAUGGUGAGGGACUGGGCCUGGCUGGCCCGCGCGAGCUCGUCGUACCGCGCGGUGAUCCGCCGCUGCAGCGCGCCGGCCACCGAAGCGAGCGGGAACCGCGGCCGCGGCGGCAGCGCGUCGUCCCCGCCGCCACCCGCCGCCUGCGAGGCGGCCCCAUCACCGCCCUGCUUCUGCUGCUGCCUCCGCCUCGCCCUCCGCCGCCGCCUCUUCUCCUCCCCGCCCUCGUCCUCCUCGGGCGGCGCGCUCGACUCGAGCGGCGCGGCCGCCGGCUCGGGCGGCGUUAGCCGAGGCCUCUGGCGGCGGCGGUGCAGGUGGAGGCCAAUGAGGAGCGCCGCCGGCGGGGCGGCGAGGAGCACGAGGAGGAGGAGGAGGAGGAGUAGAGCUGCGGGGGCUAGCGGCAAGUCCAUCGCCGGCGAGGGCUCGUCAUCCCCGGCCGGAACUCGCCCCUAGACUCACUGACUCUGGAAUCACUAUUUUCGUGUGCGUGGGCGCGCUUGGGAAGAGGGAAAUGGGGUGCGAGGAAUGGGAGGAAGAAGUAAUGGGUUUGAAGUCUCCGGGCGGCAGAGCCAGAGCGCCUUCGAGUGCUUUACAAGUGGUAACCUCGAGAGAGGGGCGUAUGCACGGGACGCGAGGUGAGAGCAGUAGUGGUCGAGGCUGGCUGUGGACCACGGAUAAGAACGACCGACGACGAGACUGACUACGGUGGUGUUUCUUUCCCCACCACUGACUAAAAAGUCUUUUUUUCGUCCCUAGUCAAAGAAACAUGAGGGAUUUUUUUUUAAGAAACUACAAAAAAGACUCUAUUAGAGUGACUUUUUUCUUUAGUCCCUGGAACUAAAAAAAGUCUAGUCUCUAGAAAAGAAACACCACCUACAAAGCCAAUGGUGUCUGCAACAUUGAUCGCCAAAACAUAUUUUUUUUCUUCGGGAAAUCGGGAGCUAUUUAUUCAUCCCUAAGGGCAACUCUAACAAGACGAUCCAUUUUAUCCGUUGUCGUCCCUUUGGGUCGGCGUGGACAAAAAACUUUAUUCAAUGGGGCGACUCAAACGAACAACAUGUCCGUCUAAUGUCCGUUCCCGACCCAAACUGAACCCAAAUAUGGGUCACAAAUGGAUCCGCGGCGGACAAAAACGAACGCUCCCGUCGUCUCCUUCCGUCCACUCGUGUCCGCUUUGAUUCCACCCAUCAGUGACUAGGUGGGGAGGAGCAGCAACACGUCACUCGUCCUCCUCAUCACCGCUGCCUCGCCGGCCCGGCACGCGCCUUCACCCGCUACACGUCCUCGCCGCUGCUCACGACGAGCGAGCGAGAGGGAGAGAGGUGGAGACGGGUGGAGGUACCAGAUUGAGACACACAUGAGACGUAGUGGAGACGACGGCUCAGAUCUACCGCUUGGCGUCGCCGGAACCCACGACCGGAAGCGAGGCAGACCCCGUCCCACACGGUCUGAGAUCCCCCGCGACCGCAUCCGAUGCCAACGAAGCCGCGCCGGCUCACGGCGAGCGAGCGAGAGGGAGAGAGGUGGAGAGGGGUGGAGGUACCAGAUCGAGACACAGAGGAGACGAAGUGGAG